Molecule: ribosomal RNA, 264 nt
Filed under: uncultured bacterium
Lineage: Bacteria
Description: partial 16S ribosomal RNA
Rfam family: Bacterial small subunit ribosomal RNA
Source: RNAcentral
GGGUCUGUAUGGUAUCAGCUUGUUGGUGAGGUAAUGGCUCACCAAGGCUAUGACGCCUAACUGGUUUGAGAGGAUGAUCAGUCACACUGGAACUGAGACACGGUCCAGACUCCUACGGGAGGCAGCAGUGGGGAAUAUUGCACAAUGGACNAAAGUCUGAUGCAGCAACGCCGCGUGGAGGAUGACACAUUUCGGUGCGUAAACUCCUUUUAUAUAGGAAGAUAAUGACGGUACUAUAUGAAUAAGCACCGGCUAACUCCGUGC